CCCCGUGAGAGGUGAAAUUCUUGGACCGUGGCCAGACAAACUACAGCGAAAGCAUUUGCCAAGAAUGUCUUCAUUAAUCAAGAACGAAAGUCAGAGGUUCGAAGGCGAUCAGAUACCGCCCUAGUUCUGACCGUAAACGAUGCCAACUAGCGAUCCGCCGAUGGAAAUUAUAUUGCCUUGGUGGGGAGCUUCCCGGAAACGAAAGUCUUCCGGUUCCGGGGGAAGUAUGGUUGCAAAGCUGAAACUUAAAGGAAUUGACGGAAGGGCACCACCAGGAGUGGAGCAUGCGGCUUAAUUUGACUCAACACGGGGAAACUCACCCGGCCCGGACACUGUGAGGAUUGACAGAUUGAUAGCUUUUUCAUGAUUCAGUGGAUGGUGGUGCAUGGCCGUUCUUAGUUCGUGGAGUGAUUUGUCUGGUUUAUUCCGAUAACGAGCGAGACUCUAACCUACUAAAUAGCUGGUACAUAAUUUAAGUGUAUACAGCUUCUUAGAGGGAUUUGCGGUGUUCAGCCGAAAGAAAUUGAGCAAUAACAGGUCUGUGAUGCCCUUAGAUGUCCGGGGCUGCACGCGCGCUACACUGGCAAAAUCAACGUGCUUGUCCUACCCCGAAAGGGGCGGGUAAACCAUUGAAAAUUUGCCGUGAUUGGGAUCGGAAAUUGCAAUUAUUUUCCGUGAACGAGGAAUUCCAAGUAAGUGCGAGUCAUCAGCUCGCGUUGAUUACGUCCCUGCCCUUUGUACACACCGCCCGUCGCUGCCCGGGACUGAGCCAUUUCGAGAAAUUUGGGGACCGUUGAUUUAAUUUUUCUAAAUUACUUUGAUGGAAACCAAUUUAAUCGCAGUGGCUUGAACCGGGCAAAAGUCGUAACAAGGUAGCUGUAGGUGAACCUGCUGCUG
This 897-nucleotide ribosomal RNA is filed under the name Meloidogyne javanica (root-knot nematode). RNAcentral's name for it is "SSU rRNA". It matches the Rfam family "Eukaryotic small subunit ribosomal RNA", at positions 900 to 1823 of the family's 1831-position model. Lineage: Eukaryota; Metazoa; Nematoda; Chromadorea; Rhabditida; Meloidogynidae. The record is from RNAcentral.